RNAcentral lists this transfer RNA (73 nucleotides) under Danio rerio (zebrafish). It matches the Rfam family "tRNA". Rfam says of the family: Transfer RNA (tRNA) molecules are approximately 80 nucleotides in length. Lineage: Eukaryota; Metazoa; Chordata; Actinopteri; Cypriniformes; Danionidae. The record is from Rfam by way of RNAcentral.
GCCCGGCUAGCUCAGUCGGUUGAGCAUGAGACUCUUAAUGUCAGGUUUGUGGGUUCGAGCCCUACGUUGGGCG